RNAcentral lists this ribosomal RNA (510 nucleotides) under uncultured Glomus. Its description in RNAcentral is "SSU rRNA". It matches the Rfam family "Eukaryotic small subunit ribosomal RNA", at positions 569 to 1083 of the family's 1831-position model. Lineage: Eukaryota; Fungi; Glomeromycota; Glomeromycetes; Glomerales; Glomeraceae. The record is from RNAcentral.
AGCAGCCGCGGUAAUUCCAGCUCCAAUAGCGUAUAUUAAAGUUGCUGCAGUUAAAAAGCUCGUAGUUGAAUUUCGGGACUAAUAUGUCGGUCGUGCCUCGGUACGUACUGGUUUAUUGGUUUCUCCUUUCUGAAGAACCAUGAUGUCAUUUAUUUGGUGUCGUGGGGAAUCAGGACUGUUACUUUGAAAAAAUUAGAGUGUUUAAAGCAGGCUCACGCUUGAAUACAUUAGCAUGGAAUAAUGAAAUAGGACGUUUGAUUCUAUUUUGUUGGUUUCUAGGAUCGACGUAAUGAUUAAUAGGGAUAGUUGGGGGCAUUAGUAUUCAAUUGUCAGAGGUGAAAUUCUUGGAUUUAUUGAAGACUAACUACUGCGAAAGCAUUUGCCAAGGAUGUUUUCAUUAAUCAAGAACGAAAGUUAGGGGAUCGAAGACGAUCAGAUACCGUCGUAGUCUUAACCAUAAACUAUGCCGACUAGGGAUCGGAUGAUGUUAAUUUUUAAUGACUCAUUCGG